This 389-nucleotide ribosomal RNA is filed under the name Syndiniales sp. Its description in RNAcentral is "partial small subunit ribosomal RNA". It matches the Rfam family "Eukaryotic small subunit ribosomal RNA", at positions 582 to 975 of the family's 1831-position model. The record is from RNAcentral. Lineage: Eukaryota; Dinophyceae; Syndiniales.
AUUCCAGCUCCCCUUUCGUCUCUUCCCGUUGUUGCGGUUCCCCCGCUCGUCGUUGGCGUUCUGCCAGGUGCCACCUGUCCGCCCCAGUGGUGAGUACGUGGUGCGCAUUUGGCCCUUUCAAGGGGAGCGUAUUUGCACUUAAUUGUGUGGUGCGGGAUCCUUGACUUUUACUUUGAGGAAAUAAGAGUGUUCCAAGCAGGCUCUCGUCGUGCAUAGCUCAGCAUGGAAUAAUAGCAUUGGAUCUCGAUUCCAAACUGUUGGUUGUAGGAAACGAGAUAAUGAUGAAGAGGGAUAGUUGGGGGCAUUCGUAUUUAACUGUCAGAGGUGAAAUUCUUGGAUUUGUUAAAGACGAACUACUGCGAAAGCAUCUGCCAUGGAUGUUUUCAUCG